RNAcentral lists this ribosomal RNA (246 nucleotides) under uncultured bacterium. Its description in RNAcentral is "partial 16S ribosomal RNA". It matches the Rfam family "Bacterial small subunit ribosomal RNA", at positions 523 to 769 of the family's 1533-position model. The record is from RNAcentral.
AUACAUAGGGGGCAAGCGUUAUCCGGAAUUAUUGGGCGUAAAGGGUGCGUAGGCGGUCUGUUAAGUCUAAGGUGUAAGUGCAAGGCUCAACCUUGUGAUGCUUUAGAAACUGGUGGACUAGAGAUAGAUAGAGGCAAGUGGAAUUCCAUGUGUAGCGGUAAAAUGCGUAAAUAUAUGGAGGAACACCAGUGGCGAAGGCGGCUUGCUGGGUCUAUACUGACGCUGAGGCACGAAAGCGUGGGGAGC